Molecule: long non-coding RNA, 1642 nt
Organism: Ctenopharyngodon idella (grass carp)
Lineage: Eukaryota; Metazoa; Chordata; Actinopteri; Cypriniformes; Xenocyprididae
Exons: 2
Source: RefSeq, a predicted model, not a curated record
UAGACCGUAGCUAUGGACACCAUAAGAAAUGACUGCACUAAUGCCAGUGACAAGCAGUAUCCCGCUUGUUCACUAAGUUUACAUGCUAUGAUAGCUGUGGAUUUUAACUGAAAUAGUUAAGAUUAGUUCUAGGACUGUACAUGCAAAUGUAAACUCAAAUAGUUGGAGCAACCUUUUUUUUUUUUUUUGAGUAAUCAAUCGCCCAAAAUCAUGCAUCAGAAUGCCAUUAUGUAAAGCUGUUUGUUUUAAAAUUUAAAGAAAAGGUAAUGAUUUCGUGUCUUGAAUCAUAACUAACGUUAGGUGGUGCUAGUGCCUGCACAUUUGGUGAUACACAAUCCUGAAUGACGCAAUGAUAGAGUUCUAUGGAUAUUCAGUAGGUCCUGAACUAAACGUGAGCAUUAAUGAUAGAAAAUGUUGAUGAUAUAGAAAAUUUACUGACAUGCAGCUGCCCUGAGAUAAGAAUUUGAAUUUUUAUAUCACACAAAUUAACAUUUGCCACAUUUCUGGAAUUUAAUUUCGUAAAGGUAGCCUAUGCAUAACAACACAUCUUUGACAACUUCUAUGAGAUUUUAUUUCAGCCCGAAGCCAUUUAUAACGAAUAGUUGGAUGGCUGAGUGGGAUAACUAGCCACAGGUGAAACAGGUAGAGACGAAACACUGAAGAUUUUUUUUUUUUUUUUUUUUUUAGCCGACCCUUUUAUUGUCAUCAACUCGUGUACAAACUGAUAUCUGUCAAGCUAUAGUGUUUGUGGUUAGCCUACUAUAAACAGGAUUUUUAACAAAAAAUGUAAUUUUUGAAGUGAUAACUCAGUAUGGAAUGUGACUUGUAUCAGCAGUUAAAGUGCUGUGGAUGAUGCUAAGGCUUGGCUAGACAGGAUGAGGUGUGAGAGAUAAUAGUAAUGCUUUGAUAUAGCUAGGCAUGCUAAUAAUAAUAAGCUUAAACAAUAUCAUUAUUAAAAUUAUUUUAUUUAUAAUCUGUCUUUUUAAUAAUUUAUCUUCACUUCAAUGAAAUAUUUAAAUAGACAAUAGGCCUAUUAGUGUUUUUAUGUUUCAAAGAAAAGUCUUUAGUACAACUUUAUUACAAUAGAAAGAAGUCGCAUGGAACUCUCACAAGAUCAAAGUGUCUCUUCAUUCUCCACAAUUGGGCUCAGGUGAUUUGGACACUCAUACCACCCAGAGAUUCUGCUCACCGUAUAGUGAACAUUUACUGUGAAUGCUUUGCUCACUGGAUAAUCUCUAUACCAGCGGAAAUGGGCAUGUGUUGAGCUCCUCACAGGCCUCCAGGGAGGGAGCCCCGCCUAACUGAUAUAAAACGCUGCGUGCCGUUGCGUCUCACCAGAGCCCGGAGCGUUUAGCGUCGUUCAACAGUUUGCAAGUCGACAACAGGAGCUUAACAUGCACCUUGUCCUGAGUGUUGCAGAGAUGGGGAUGAGGACUCAUAGAACAGCACGUCUGUUCAGCUCCCUAUGAUGUGCUCCGUCACUUGCCCCUCAGGUGUUCUGCUCAUGUGGAGGAGGCCCUGAGGAGCGCCGGUGCAUCCAGUCUAAUCAUCAUGCAAAACACAGAUGCUCUGGUGAUGCAUCUGGAAAGCUUGGGUCUUUGUCUGGUAUCCUCUCAGAAAAUAAACUGAUGGAUUCCUGACU